RNAcentral lists this transfer RNA (78 nucleotides) under Thermoprotei archaeon. RNAcentral describes it as "tRNA-Arg". It matches the Rfam family "tRNA". Rfam says of the family: Transfer RNA (tRNA) molecules are approximately 80 nucleotides in length. Their secondary structure includes four short double-helical elements and three loops (D, anti-codon, and T loops). Further hydrogen bonds mediate the characteristic L-shaped molecular structure. tRNAs have two regions of fundamental functional importance: the anti-codon, which is responsible for specific mRNA codon recognition, and the 3' end, to which the tRNAs corresponding amino acid is attached (by aminoacyl-tRNA synthetases). tRNAs cope with the degeneracy of the genetic code in two manners: having more than one tRNA (with a specific anti-codon) for a particular amino acid; and 'wobble' base-pairing, i.e. permitting non-standard base-pairing at the 3rd anti-codon position. The record is from RNAcentral. Lineage: Archaea; Thermoproteati; Thermoproteota; Thermoprotei.
GGGCCCGUAGCUCAGCCAGGAUAGAGCACCGGCCUCCGGAGCCGGUGGUCCCGGGUUCAAAUCCCGGCGGGCCCGCCA